This 505-nucleotide ribosomal RNA is filed under the name uncultured bacterium. RNAcentral describes it as "partial 16S ribosomal RNA". It matches the Rfam family "Bacterial small subunit ribosomal RNA", at positions 28 to 507 of the family's 1533-position model. The record is from RNAcentral.
GACGAACGCUGGCGGCGUGCCUAAUACAUGCAAGUCGAACGCACAGUUUAUACCGUAGCUUGCUACACCAUAGACUGUGAGUUGCGAACGGGUGAGUAACGCGUAGGUAACCUGCCUGGUAGCGGGGGAUAACUAUUGGAAACGAUAGCUAAUACCGCAUAAUAUUGAUUAUUGCAUGAUAAUUGAUUGAAAGAUGCUAUUGCAUCACUACCAGAUGGACCUGCGUUGUAUUAGCUAGUAGGUGAGGUAACGGCUCACCUAGGCGACGAUACAUAGCCGACCUGAGAGGGUGAUCGGCCACACUGGGACUGAGACACGGCCCAGACUCCUACGGGAGGCAGCAGUAGGGAAUCUUCGGCAAUGGACGAAAGUCUGACCGAGCAACGCCGCGUGAGUGAAGAAGGGUGUCGGAUCGUAAAGCUCUGUUGUAAGAGAAGAACGGGUGUGAGAGUGGAAAGUUCACACUGUGACGGUAGCUUACCAGAAAGGGACGGCUAACUACGUG